This is a long non-coding RNA of Salmo salar (Atlantic salmon), 1333 nucleotides long. RefSeq lists it as uncharacterized. Lineage: Eukaryota; Metazoa; Chordata; Actinopteri; Salmoniformes; Salmonidae. The record is from RefSeq and is a predicted model, not a curated record.
UCAAGCAAAAAAUCGGCCCACGGCUGAAUGUAAUUGGGGAACCAUGACAUAGGAUGCGCAUUUAUACCAGAGCACGCUCCUCUUAGAGAAACACGCCAGCUCAAGAGUGGUCACCUGUGACAAUGGAGAAAACGUCCAGUUCCUGAUCUGUGAGUCUGGAGUGAUCUUCAUUGAGAGAUCUCUGUACGGAAGGACUAACGGAACCACCUGCAGAGAAGGACAACCUGCCAACCAGCUGACCAACAGUGUUCACAGACGGGCACCCUGGAGGUCCUCUGAGGUGCAAUGGGAAACAGGUGUGUGAAGUGAACACUGAAGUCUUCCGUACUUCUGACCCGUGUUGGAAUCUACAAAUACCUGGAAACCACCUACACCUAUGAAGGUACAAUCCAGAUCCACAGUGCCAGCUAUGGCCGCCGUGGCCAGCUAGUGUCUUCCUUUAAACGGCCUGCGAGCCAAUCCACAACUGUCUCAGCCAAUCCACAACUGUCUCAGCCAAUCCACAACUGUCUCAGCCAAUCCACAACUGUCUCAGCCAAUCCACAACUGUCUCAGCCAAUCCACAACUGUCUCAGCCAAUCCACAACUGUCUCAGCCAAUCCACAACUGUCUCAGCCAAUCCACAACUGUCUCAGCCAAUCCACAACUGUCUCAGCCAAUCCACAACUGUCUCAGCCAAUCCACAACUGUCUCAGCCAAUCCACAACUGUCUCAGCCAAUCCACAACUGUCUCAGCCAAUCCACAACUGCCAGUAAGAUGGCAGAGAGUUAUUGAAACCUGCAGUGUACUAUUUGAAACGCAUUACUGUUAACCUGUACUGUAGAAACAUGACAGUAGCGUUAACCUGUACUGUAGAAACGUGACUGUAGCGUUAACCUGUACUGUAGAAACGUCACUGUAGCGUUAACCUGUACCUAUCGUUGACACAGUUGUGAUGGGAAGAGCCAGUGUGACGUCCCGGUGUUCAACUCUCUGUAUGGAGAUAGGAAGGAACCUACAAGUACCUGGAUGUGGCUUACACCUGUGGCUAAACGUGAGGCACACACAUGACUGGGAAGUAGAAUGCUGGGGUUGACUGUUUUUGUCUUGCAGGAGAUAUUCUGAGGAAUGAAGGCCAGAUACUUCUGGGAUAUCUUCAUCGGGUGGAUCUGUCUUUCCUCUCCUCUUCCUCAUGAAUCUCAAAUUGAGUAAAAUGUAUGUAAUUUCCAUGUCAAGGUGUGUCAGUCACAUUGAUUAUUUUGGUAUAGGCAUAAUUUAUGGUCAACACUGUGUAGGAACGCUUUCUAAAAGCAAGGUGCGGUCAGAAGGACACAUGGAGAAAUAAAACAUGAA